This is a non-coding RNA of Marichromatium purpuratum 984, 186 nucleotides long. It matches the Rfam family "6S / SsrS RNA". Rfam says of the family: E. coli 6S RNA was the first non coding RNA to be sequenced, but its function was unknown until recently. It consists of 184 nucleotides that fold into an extended hairpin structure with a large single-stranded internal bulge. The record is from Rfam. NCBI's taxonomy places the organism in Bacteria, Pseudomonadati, Pseudomonadota, Gammaproteobacteria, Chromatiales, Chromatiaceae.
CACCCCCUGUAGUGUUCGACAGCGGUCUGGGUAUUUUCUUGAGCCUAAUCUCGACCCUGGGAGCAUGACCGCAAGGCUGUUGUGCAUGUCCGCCCCGAGCGGAAAGCCUGAUGCCAUUGCUGACUGUUCCCACUUGAACCCUCUGGUUCAAGAACGAAGGCCUGCGACGGCACCCGUGGGGGGUGU